ACCCAAAUAUACUCAGACAAUACAAGAACCCUAAAAUUCCCAAGACUCAAAUGGCGCAGAUACUAUUCAUCAUAUCUCUCAUCCAAAUCACUCCCAAACUCGCCAAAAUUCAUGGCGAGUGAACCCCAAACUUACACCACGCAUUUCCCCUUCUCUCCUCCUGCCAUAUUAUAACGGUUUCUGACACCCAAAGAUUCCCUCCCCCCUCACUCGCCCGAUUUCGAGCUAUAUCACGUGAUGGAAAGUUCUGAAGGACGAGAGUUGGAUGAGUGAGAGGCAUUGGAUCGAUUUUACUCAAUCUAAGCCUCACAUUCAUCAGAUGUUCGUUUUCAAAAAGGACCUCAUCCGAUUUUGUAAAGGACAGAGAAUUUCGAGGUAAAAGAAUUAGAGAGAAAAAUGUUUAAGGAUUUUUUGGGCUUCUCAUUUUCUCCUCUGAAAAAUAUUCUUUUUAAAAUUCAAAAAAUACAUAAACAUUUAGAGUGUUCAAUCUAAUUUUGGGUUCCAAAACAUGGAAAUUAAUUGAGGUCUAUUGAAUAUUUGUGAGGUUCAAGUUCGUCGAUUUCGUUUCUACUGAUGUCCUACUGAUUUGCUGCUGAACUUCGCUAGGAUUUUGGAAUCAAAAGGUGUAUUUGCUGAUUCAGUAAUUAUUAUAAAGGAAAUUUGUAAUUUUAGGUUCGAUUUUUUUUCUCCUAUGUGACUCUGUUUUUUUAGGUCUUCUUGAGCGAUGAGAUUCUGUCUAGAAUGGUUUGUUUUGUUCUGUGAUCGAAUUUCUUACUGAUGAAUCUCUUCUCAAUGGUGUGAUGUGCUUGAGUACGUUUAGUCAGUAAGAGUUUUUUUGAGUGGUCGUCCUCUAUGCUUUAUAUGCUUUAAUUGUUAUUAUGGUGUCGAGUUAUCAUUUGAGUCAAGAUGUCGUCGUUUUCAAAUGAACGAUUGCGUUCAGCUUUGGGAUUGUAUGGAUUCCUGAAGGGUGUCACAUUACUGUUAGUUUAGGUUGAUUGGUUCUCCUAAUGUUUGCAAAGUUUUCCUGUUAUAGUUGGUUGGUCUGUUAACGUAAAGCUGCUCUUGUCUGUUGAAACAUGGAAGUUGAAUCAUAGGUUUACUUGAUUCUGAACAUGACAGUAUGAGUAUGAAGCAUUGCAUUUGAGGUGUUAUUAGUUUCUGUUUAAAUAGGCUCUCAUGAGAAGAAUGUCGUAGUCCUCUGUUAAUUAGUUCAUUAGUUUGAGGUAUGCUAAAGUAUAUCUUGUUUGCUUAAUGGGUAUAAUGGAUUCAUCCCUCUUCUUUUUACUCCAUAUAACUGCACGAGGUGCGUCCGAAUGGAUAGUUCUAUGUCAUUUGUGCCACUUUUGAGUUAUUUUGUACAAAGGGACUAGUGUGGUUAUGUUAGUUUGGUUUAAAAGGAUGAACCAGUUUUUCUUUUGUAGAAGAUUUUUUGUUGUCUAUUUCCGAGUUGAUAGAUAAGAACUGAAACUACGCGCCUGCUUGGAAGCUUCUGCUGUUGCAGGAAUUUAGAAAAAUUAUCUUCAUUGUAUGUUUGGAUGGAGUUAGUGCUUGAUUCUGUUAACCCAUUUUCAAUACAACUCUUUGUAAUAACCAGUUUUUCAGGAAUUCAAAUGUUGGUUUCGAAAUUGGUUGGUCACUGCUAUAAUCUUUUACUUCAUUAGAGGAUCCUCACUCCCCAUCCCUUAGUAUAGAUGUACAGAAUCUCAAAAACCUGGCUUGAGUUUCAUUUUGCAUUAAUCUUAGUUUGAUGAGGUUUGUAGGUUAGCUGUUUCCCUUCUUUUCUCCUCUAUCUUCAUUCUUCCCCUUUCUUUUCUGAUAAUUUGAUAGGCGGCACUUUGAUUGGAGUUGGAGCUUAUUUUCUUUUGUUUAUUAAAAUAACAGUUACAUUGGUGUGAGGAUAGGGCUCUAAGGGAUGAAAGAUUGCAAGCUGAAUGAUAGUAAGAUAUAGUAAGGCUUACUGGAAAAUGGCAUUUGUUACUGGAUAAUUAGUGAAAAGCAUGCCAACUGUUGAUGGAUUCAUGAAUACUUCAUUGAGCUUUGUCAAUUUCUUUAACUGCUGAUGCUAUUCUUUUCAUGGUAGAUUACUGUAUUGGCAUGCGAAAUAUGUCAUAUAUUAAGGGAAUUCCUAGUAACAUUAAUUAAUAUUUGGUUUUGUGUUGUCUCAUUGAAGUUUGUAGUAAUUGAUCGAACCUCUGCUCUUAUUUUGUGCUUUUAUUGCUUGUUAUAGAAUACUAUGCUAAGCUGCAAACAAUCUUCUUGUAAAGUGACAUGGAUUCUUCAGUGAA
This 2285-nucleotide long non-coding RNA is filed under the name Nicotiana tabacum (common tobacco). RNAcentral describes it as "long non-coding RNA (NTAB_LNC019009)". The record is from RNAcentral. Lineage: Eukaryota; Viridiplantae; Streptophyta; Magnoliopsida; Solanales; Solanaceae.